This 485-nucleotide ribosomal RNA is filed under the name uncultured bacterium. RNAcentral describes it as "partial 16S ribosomal RNA". It matches the Rfam family "Bacterial small subunit ribosomal RNA", at positions 28 to 507 of the family's 1533-position model. The record is from RNAcentral.
GAUGAACGCUGGCGGCGUGCCUAAUACAUGCAAGUCGAACGCUGGAGAUCUAGCUUGCUCGAUCGAAGGAGUGGCGAACGGGUGAGUAAUACAUAAGCAACCUACCCACGAAGACUGGGAUAAUCUCUGGAAACGGGGACUAUACCGGAUAGGUAAUCGGAAGGCAUCUUCUGGUUAUUAAAGGUUAAAAACACUGGUGGAUGGGCUUAUGGCGCAUUAGUUAGUUGGUGAGGUAACGGCCCACCAAGACGAUGAUGCGUAGCCGGCCUGAGAGGGUGAACGGCCACAUUGGGACUGAGACACGGCCCAGACUCCUACGGGAGGCAGCAGUAGGGAAUUUUCGGCAAUGGGGGCAACCCUGACCGAGCAACGCCGCGUGAGUGAAGACGGCCUUCGGGUUGUAAAGCUCUGUUGUAAGGGAAGAACGGUAGAUAGAGAAUAUCUAAGUGACGGUACCUUACCAGAAAGCCACGGCUAACUACGUG